This 93-nucleotide non-coding RNA is filed under the name Amedibacterium intestinale. RNAcentral's name for it is "Purine riboswitch". It matches the Rfam family "Purine riboswitch aptamer". Rfam says of the family: Riboswitches are metabolite binding domains within certain messenger RNAs that serve as precision sensors for their corresponding targets. Allosteric rearrangement of mRNA structure is mediated by ligand binding, and this results in modulation of gene expression. The record is from RNAcentral. Lineage: Bacteria; Bacillati; Bacillota; Erysipelotrichia; Erysipelotrichales; Erysipelotrichaceae.
AAAAGGUUUUAAUAAGUCAUAUAUGGCGCAAAUAUGGUGCGUUAAGUUUCUACCCGGUAGCCGUAAAUUAUCGGACUAUGAUGAUAUUAGAAA